CUCUGCAGCACAUAUACUUUAAAAAAAAGGAAGGAGAUGGAGGAGAUUAGCAUGGCCCCUGUGCAAGGAUGACGUGCAAAUACAUGAAGAGUUCCAUUAAAAA
This is a small nuclear RNA of Phacochoerus africanus (Common warthog), 103 nucleotides long. The record is from RefSeq and is a predicted model, not a curated record. Lineage: Eukaryota; Metazoa; Chordata; Mammalia; Artiodactyla; Suidae.